UGAGUAACACGUAGGUGACCUACCCCAAAGUCUGGGACAACCAGGAGAAAUCCUGGCUAAUCCCGGAUGUGGACACAUCCUGUGGGGUGUGUUUAAAGCUCCGGCGCUUUGGGAUGGGCCUGCGGCGCAUCAGGUAGUUGGUGGGGUAAUGGCCCACCAAGCCGACGACGCGUAGCUGGUCUGAGAGGACGGCCAGCCACAGGGGUACUGAGACACGGACCCCACUCCUACGGGAGGCAGCAGUUAGGAAUCUUCCGCAAUGGGCGAAAGCCUGACGGAGCGAUACCGCUUGAAGGAGGAAGCCCUUCGGGGUGUAAACUUCUGAACUGGGGACGAUAAUGACGGUACCCAGGUAAUAGCACCGGCUAACUCCGUGCCAGCAGCCGCGGUAAUACGGAGGGUGCGAGCGUUACCCGGAUUUACUGGGUGUAAAGGGCGUGUAGGCGGUCUUGCAAGUCCGGUGCUAAAGACCGGGGCUCAACCCCGGGGGUGCGCUGGAUACUGUAAGGCUAGACGGUCGGAGGGGGUAGUGGAAUUUCCGGAGUAGCGGUGAAAUGCGCAGAUACCGGAAGGAACGCCGAUAGCGAAGGCAGCUACCUGGACGACAUGUGACGCUGAGGCGCGAAAGCGUGGGGAGCAAACCGGAUUAGAUACCCGGGUAGUCCACGCCCUAAACGAUGAGUGCUGGGUGUCCGGCAUCCGCCGGGUGCCGAAGCUAACGCGUUAAGCACUCCAC
This 736-nucleotide ribosomal RNA is filed under the name Meiothermus sp. RNAcentral describes it as "bacterial SSU rRNA". It matches the Rfam family "Bacterial small subunit ribosomal RNA", at positions 107 to 872 of the family's 1533-position model. Lineage: Bacteria; Thermotogati; Deinococcota; Deinococci; Thermales; Thermaceae. The record is from RNAcentral.